Molecule: long non-coding RNA, 581 nt
Filed under: Ananas comosus (pineapple)
Lineage: Eukaryota; Viridiplantae; Streptophyta; Magnoliopsida; Poales; Bromeliaceae
Description: long non-coding RNA (ACOM_LNC041391)
Source: RNAcentral
AUAUUUAACGCUCCUAUGGCGCACCAAAUUUUAAUACUCGUCAAAAUUAAAUUUACUAUCUUAUGUAAGGAAAAAUUUACUAUCAUAAAUUAAAAUUCAAAUUAUCAAAUUCGCGGGUAUUAAAUUUUAGCGGGUAUUACAAAUUUAAAAUUUAAUUUUGAAUACUACGUGUUGGCAGGUAUUAUAUUUGAGAAGAAAAAAUAUUUGAGAAAAUGCGUGGAUAUGAAAUAAAUUUAAUUUUACAUAUUACGUGAUUAGUGAAGGUAUUAUGUGAUUGGCUGGUAUUACGUUAGAUAAGAGAUAAAUUUAGUUUUACGUAUUAAAUGAUUGGUGGGGAGAAAAAAAAUAUUUGAGAAACGCAGCGUAGAUAGGAGAUAACGGGUAUGAAGGGUAUUUUUGUCAACAAAAAUGACAGAUACUUUUAUUUUUAUUCGUUGGAUGAGAUCUAAUGGCGAAAACUUAAAAUCUAUAUUUGAGAAUAAACUAUUAUUUAAAGAUUUAUUUAAAAUGGAUGGUUGAAAAUUACUGGACAUGACAAUAUUAGUAAAAAAGAUAGAGAUAUUUUUGGAAAGAAAAAAAAU